This is a non-coding RNA of Parasteatoda tepidariorum (common house spider), 936 nucleotides long. The record is from RefSeq and is a predicted model, not a curated record. Lineage: Eukaryota; Metazoa; Arthropoda; Arachnida; Araneae; Theridiidae.
UCGUUAUAUUUGAUAUUAAAAUUUAAAAUCUAAUGCUAGGAAAUCCCUCAAAAAAUUAACAAAAAUAAAAGGAGUAUUAUAUUUGAUCUCAAGAUUUUAAUACAGGUAAUCCUCAUUCAGUUUAUCUAAAUGACCGCUUGAUAUAUUUAAAAGUUCUUAGUUUAUUGAUAAUAAUAGCAUAUUAUUUUAUGUAAUAUUCUUGUACAAUGAAAAUGAAAAAAGUGCGUCUUUGUAGAUUAGUACAAUAAGAAAAGUAAGUUAAACUAGUAUACUUUUUCUUAGUUAAACUGGUAUUUAAUUAAACUGGUAUUCCAGAAGAAAAAAAACCUAAAGCUGACAGUCUUAAAAUUACAAAUCGGAAUGACGACAAUUCAUUCAAAGAGUUCUUUGAAUGUUUCGGCAGGCUGUCGGAAUUUAAAAUUUUUAGAACAGUAACUUCAUCAUAUUAUGGUUUUCCUUAGGCUUGGUGUCAUUGCUCCCUGUAUUCUGCUUUCAUUUGCAAUCGAUUCAGUACUUCAAAGUGUCCAUUAAUUCACCAAGCAGCAAAUUCAUCGGUGCUAGAUGUGACAGUUAUGAAGAUUUUCUGUCGGGGGCAUGUCACCGAUGUUGCCGAGACAACUCAACAGAAUGCGCUGUUGCAGGAAUGGACGCAGAAUACUAUUUUCCCAGGGAUCAACCCAGAGAGGAGAGAAAAUACUAUUUCAACACUGAAGACGUUUGUCCUUAUAACGAACAUUAUGACUUCAGCAUUUUUAAAAACUGUGGAUGCAACAAAGAUUCAACUAAAACCGUGAAAAGAGUUUUGUGAUAAUUGUAGCAUCUUACAUUGCAACAUCUUAUUUUAAGGAUUGCAACGAAUAUUUCGUUGAAGUUAUCAGAAAUAUGCAUAAAGAAAGACGGAACAAUACUGUAAUUAAACUAUCUAGUAGUACCAGA